RNAcentral lists this ribosomal RNA (1279 nucleotides) under Nocardia sp. 15-Je-015. Its description in RNAcentral is "bacterial SSU rRNA". It matches the Rfam family "Bacterial small subunit ribosomal RNA", at positions 92 to 1384 of the family's 1533-position model. The record is from RNAcentral. Lineage: Bacteria; Bacillati; Actinomycetota; Actinomycetes; Mycobacteriales; Nocardiaceae.
CGAGCGGCGAACGGGUGAGUAACACGUGGGUGAUCUGCCUUGCACUUCGGGAUAAGCCUGGGAAACUGGGUCUAAUACCGGAUAUGACCACUGAAUGCAUGUUCGGUGGUGGAAAGAUUUAUCGGUGCGAGAUGGGCCCGCGGCCUAUCAGCUUGUUGGUGAGGUAACGGCUCACCAAGGCGACGACGGGUAGCCGACCUGAGAGGGUGACCGGCCACACUGGGACUGAGACACGGCCCAGACUCCUACGGGAGGCAGCAGUGGGGAAUAUUGCACAAUGGGCGAAAGCCUGAUGCAGCGACGCCGCGUGCGGGAUGACGGCCUUCGGGUUGUAAACCGCUUUUGACAGGGACGAAGCGCAAGUGACUGUACCUGUAGAAUAAGGACCGGCCAACUACGUGCCAGCAGCCGCGGUAAUACGUAGGGUCCGAGCGUUGUCCGGAAUUACUGGGCGUAAAGAGCUUGUAGGCGGUCUGUCACGUCGUUUGUGAAAACUUGGGGCUCAACCUUAAGCUUGCAGGCGAUACGGGCAGACUAGAGUACUUCAGGGGAGACUGGAAUUCCUGGUGUAGCGGUGAAAUGCGCAGAUAUCAGGAGGAACACCGGUGGCGAAGGCGGGUCUCUGGGAAGUAACUGACGCUGAGAAGCGAAAGCAUGGGUAGCAAACAGGAUUAGAUACCCUGGUAGUCCAUGCCGUAAACGGUGGGUACUAGGUGUGGGGCUCCUUCCACGGACUCCGUGCCGUAGCUAACGCAUUAAGUACCCCGCCUGGGGAGUACGGCCGCAAGGCUAAAACUCAAAGAAAUUGACGGGGGCCCGCACAAGCGGCGGAGCAUGUGGAUUAAUUCGAUGCAACGCGAAGAACCUUACCUGGGUUUGACAUACACCGGAAACCUGCAGAGAUGUAGGCCCCCUUGUGGUCGGUGUACAGGUGGUGCAUGGCUGUCGUCAGCUCGUGUCGUGAGAUGUUGGGUUAAGUCCCGCAACGAGCGCAACCCUUAUCUUAUGUUGCCAGCGCGUAAUGGCGGGGACUCGUGAGAGACUGCCGGGGUCAACUCGGAGGAAGGUGGGGACGACGUCAAGUCAUCAUGCCCCUUAUGUCCAGGGCUUCACACAUGCUACAAUGGCCGGUACAGAGGGCUGCGAUACCGCGAGGUGGAGCGAAUCCCUUAAAGCCGGUCUCAGUUCGGAUCGGGGUCUGCAACUCGACCCCGUGAAGUUGGAGUCGCUAGUAAUCGCAGAUCAGCAACGCUGCGGUGAAUACGUUCCCGGGCCUUGU